This 76-nucleotide non-coding RNA is filed under the name Paramoeba aestuarina. Lineage: Eukaryota; Discosea; Flabellinia; Dactylopodida; Paramoebidae. The record is from RNAcentral.
UUUUUUUUGUGAGGAGGUUGACAAGUUGAAUUAAGAUGAAUAUUGGAAAGAAGAAUAAGCAACCUGGAGGAAAAAA